UUUCAUUUAAUCUCCACGAAUCGGAUCGGAUCGGCGUCUUUAUUUUUCAUUAUUUUUAGUUUUUUUUUAAUAAUUUUGUUGUUUUUUCAAAAGCCUCAAGUGUUCGUGGUGGUGUUUAAACAAAACAUUAACGUUUAAGAUUUGCUGAAAAACAAAAAACAAUGAUUAACACUUUGCUGGAGCAUGUGCCCAUCAAAAUGGAAGAUGUAAUCGAGGCAGCAGGGAAUAAUAACGCAGGCAAUGGUACAGACGAACAUGUAAAGGAUGACGAUGAAAUUGACUCGGAGGACGAAGAUGAUGAUGAGGAUUUGGAGGAGGAUGAUGAGGAGAGUGACAGCGAAGUCUUUGAAGUCGAACAAGAGGUCACCAUGUUAAUGAGCAGUGAUGAAGAAGCCGAAUUGGAAGCACAACGCAUCCGAUUCCCCGAAAAGAGGGCAGCGAGAAAAAAGUCGCAGGAUUCUAAAACAAGCCGUACGGCAAGCCGAAAUAGCAUCAGCAGCCAGUCUUCCUCAAGCAACUCUACUGCAACAGCCAGCAGCAAGACCAGCCCCAAUAAAUUGAAUGGCGAAAUCAACGAAACUAAAAACAAUAAACAACAACAACUGCCUGCAAAUGAAAAGGAGACAACCAAAAGCGGCGACUCUGUUACUGCUAACACACCAACGCCACAAACGCAACAACAGCGAACAUCGCCACGCACAAAUAAUAAAAAGGAAAAUAAUCCACCAGACACCACAACCACUAGUGGCGAUGGUAGUGCUGGCGUCGGCGACCUACGACAAGUCGUUAACUGUCGCAGACAAAGCAACAAUUCCACUUGCAGUGUGGGUUCUUCUAUAGCUUCCUCGGAAUCCGCCGAAACAGAAUCCUGUGGUAACAUUUACGUCUUUCAACGACAACAGAAACUCAUUUUCAGCUGUGAAUUUUGUGAUUUGAAAUAUGAAACUCUGGAGAAUCUCAGUCGCCACUUACACGAAACGCAUCAUCUCUUCCAAACACAGGAUGAAGAUCAGGAAAAGGAAAAUUCCCCACGCAAUUUGCGCAACAAGAACAGAGCCUUCAAUCAUUUGCCGACCAAGGCACUACAACAACAAACAUUGAGGGCAGUGAAGAAGGAACCUCUGCAAACAACAGCCGAGACAACUUUGCCACCUGUUGCUCUCUCCCUCGAUACACAAUCUGAACAUUCCUUGGAGUCAUGUGGUAAUGUUUUUGUGCUAAAUCAUCGCAAGCUAUUCCUCAUAUGUGGUCACUGUGAGACCAAAUAUGCAAAUGUGGAACUAUUUGAGAAGCAUUUGCGGCAACAGCACGAUGUCUUUGACGGCACCAAGGCUUGCAAUGAGGUGAAUGUUGUACCCAAAACCGAAAUAAAGGAAGAAGUUUUCAUAAUAACCGAGGUAGUGGAAAGAGCUGCGGUGACACCGGCUACCGAGGCUGCUAUGGUUACCAUACCAGCUGAAAUUCCCUUAAACAUAAGCACCAACGAAAUCGAAGAGGAGACAACACAAGGCUCUGAAGAAGUGAUAGUGCCCCAUGAAAUUCCCAUGGAAAGUGAAGUUAUUUCUUCCAUACAAAUACAUGAUUCAGGGGUAACAGUAGCUGAGAUACCAGUACUCAUAACAACAGAGGAAGCCGGGCCUAUACAGCAAAUUGCCGCCGAGUCACUGACAAGUUCUAUGCCUUCUAUAGCAGUUGGCGAUACUGUUAAAGAAACCAUAAUUGUUCAAGAAAUUGAAGUAGAGCAAAGACCACCUUCUCCGCCAAAAGAACAGCGCAAAAGACGAUCUUCCACAGAAUGUAGAGAAAACAAAAAAUCACCUCAAAAACGACCGCGAAGAAACACACGAAAAACAACAGAGAGCCCAACAGAUAAGAAGGAAUCUGAAAACUCGACUCAAAAACGUAAAUCUCCAGUCGCAAUAAAGGACAUUGAAAAAUCAGAUGAAAAAGAAGGUCCACCAGCGGUCACGGAAACAACUAAGGAAACAGAAACUAUUCCAGAAGCCAACGUUAAGGAAAAAACUAAAAACAGCUCUAAGAAGAAAGCCACAACUGCAACUAAGGUACCUAAAAGAAAACGGAAACCUGUAGCGAAAACAAAAAUCGAGAAACCGGAAACCGUACCCUUAACGACACCUUCACUACCCCCAACAUUCACAAAACCUGAAAUUAAUACGAGUGGGCUUUCUGACCGAGAUGAAGAAUUCCUUGAGGACCCGGUGGCCGAAAUAAUAGAACAAAUACAAAAUGAAAUGAAUAAUGGCGCCCAAGAAGUGCGAAUAGAAAAUGUUUGCUCCAUUCCCACAACCUUAAGCAAUAUCUUCUCUAAUUCCACCGCACAAAUUAUAGGCUCUGAGGUUAACCUGAGCAAGCCACAAUUACUCAACAACAAUGGUCCCGAUUCCCCAGAAGAUAUUAAGCCCAUCAUCAAUCAUUUGGGUGAGCGAAGGUUCGCCUGUGACCAGUGUCCUCGUUCGUUUAGGAAGAAUGUGCGCCUGGUAGAACACAAACGUCUGCACACCGGCGAGAAGCCUUUUGUCUGCGAUGAGUGCGGCAAGAGUUUCCGCAUACGCAUGCAACUGAAUGAACACAAACUUCGACAUUCCAAAGAAAAGAAAUUCAUAUGCGAGGUAUGCCAAUUGGGUUGUUGCACCAAGCAGGACCUGAAUUUACACAUGCGACAUCAUACCAACGAUCGUCGUUUCCAUUGUACCAUGUGUCCCAAGGCCUUUGUAAGAAAUUCCGAUUUGAAGAUUCAUGUGCGUGUCCAUACAGGCGAGAAACCCUAUGUCUGUGACAUAUGCCACAAAUGUUUUAGGGCCAAUCAAAAUCUCAGCGUUCAUAAGAAAUCUCAUAUGGGUGAAGCUUCCCGCACCUACAAAUGUGAACAUUGUGACAAGAAGUUUUUGCGUAACAUUGAUCGUACGGUUCAUAUGCGUUCCCACACCGGCGAAAAGCCCUUCAAAUGUGAAAUAUGCAAUCGGGCCUAUUCAUCGAAAUUCAAUGUAAGAGCACACAUAGAACGGGAUCACAUAUCGGAAAAUGGCAAAAAGAAACCGGGGCCCAAGCCCAGGGCUUUGAAAGAGGAAUUGGCCAAGCAAAAAAAGUUGAUAGAGGAGUUGCAGCAACAAUUAUUGCAGCAAAUAAAAACGGAUGAGAAGGAUAUACCAGCUGAGGAGCAUUCGAACAAUGUAAGUGAUAUGGAAGAUGCCACAGUUAUGGCUGGCAUGCCUAUAACCAAUACAAGCAACACUAAUGUCACUACCAACACCACCACCACAACGACCAAUGAACAUAAUGAGUCGUUUAUAAUUUCGGAAAUAAACUCUCCCACCUCGGUAUCGUUAAGGGCAAUGCCUUCACCUGCAAGUAUUUUAUUGGAUAACCCCUUCACCAAAGCAGCCAGACAAAAGUCAUCGUCAUCGUCAUCAUCACCAUCACCACCAUCAGCAACAGCAACCACAACAACAACUAUGGUUCCAUUGACCAUAACACCCAAUAGCACUACCACCCAAGUGGUAUCGCAAAAUACUUCGUUGGGCAUACAACAGGUGAUGUCGGUUACAGUUUCCAUGCAGGUCGAAAAUGUUCCCGCCAAUGCCACACCCGCAGAAAAAGAAAAUACCGGCAUGUCCAAUUUACAAUUGACCACUACGGCAACAACGCCACCAGCGAAUAAUGUUAAAAAAGAAAGAAAGAUAACCAGUUAUUUCACCGUAGUUGGUCAAAAGGCUGAAGCCUAAGAAAGAUUUUAAAUGAAAUAAGGGAUUAUGUAACAAAAAUCCUUGUAUUUUUAGGUAACGAUUAAGGUUUCAAGAUUUUAUUUCCGUUAUCAAAUUCUUCUCAUGCAUAACUUCACUGUAAAUAUCCUAUAAACCUCUUGACAUUUUUAUGGUGGCUGGGUCUGUUUGAAUUGAACCAUCUUACCUUUACUAAUAUAACCUCGCAGCAUGCUUGAUUUUCUUGUAUACUAUCUCAACUAUGGUCCUAUUGGCCACAUCCCCUUUAGGAAUUGUCGUUUAUAAGGCCUUUGUAUAGAAUUAAACUAAACAACAUAAUUAAGAAGAAAAUUUGAGGAAAUACCCAACUUGCCCAAAAACCAUAUGAAGUAAAAAAACCUAUUUGACCGAAAAAAAAAAAUUCUAAACAGCCUUAAAAUAAAUGGCAGCAAUGCGAACUUUAAAAAAAAACAAAAUAAAUGAUAUUACUACGAGUAAAAAACUUUUGUUAUAAUAAAAAUCUAAAAAGAACACAACAACAUUGUUAAAAAUAUUUACAAAACUUUAUAUAGGUAUAUAUAUUUUUGAUAUAUCAUUUACCUUGAAUGAAAUGUAGUUUUAAUCAUUAAGAAAGUUUUCUUAUUGCCAAAAAAAGAAAAACAAGAAAACAAACAAAACCCACAAAAAGACUCAUAAGACUUAAAACCUUUGCAAAACAAAACCAGGUUCAAUUUUUAUAAAAAAAAAAAAACGAAAAUGAAAAUAAAAAUAAAAUUAUUUUAUAUAUAACAACAGCUAAUAAGUUAGUGAUAAGGAUUUAAAAUCCUUAAGAAAAAAAAACGAAAAAAUUGUUUUCAGAAUUAUAUAAAACAAUUUAAAAUUUUUUAAUAAUAAUUGAAUAUUAAACAUGAAACGUUCAGCAUGCCAAUAUUGGCAAAAAUAUACUCAAAAAUUAUUUUUUACUGCAUUAAUUAUUCCAUUUAAAGCUGAAUUACUUUUGCUUUUUUUUAAUUAUUGAACAACAAAAUUAUUUCACCCAAACGCACACCUAAUAACUUUAGUUUAUUUUUUUUAAGAAAACAAUCUUGGGUUUUUAUAUAUUUAUAUUAAUUUUGCUUUAAAUUAUAAAUGAAUUAUUAAAAACAAAAUAUUUAUGUAUUAAACAAUUAUUUUUCUUUCCACACCCAUUUAGUUAUAAGUUUUUUUUUUUAAUGGAUAAAAUUAAGUUAUAAAAUAAAAAAGAAAAAAAUUAUAUUUAAUUUUCUAAAAAGACACUACUACUUGAUCUACUUAAAAGGGAGUUUGUUUUGAAUUUUUUACCAUAAUCAUAUACUACUACUACUUGUACUCUUCCAAACACACCUCACUUUCAAUUUAAUGGAAAACAACUCAUUUAAAAUUACAUUUUUAAUUUAUUCUAUUAAGUAUC
Stomoxys calcitrans (stable fly) is the source of this 5148-nucleotide RNA transcript. RefSeq lists it as uncharacterized. The record is from RefSeq and is a predicted model, not a curated record. The transcript is spliced from 3 exons. Lineage: Eukaryota; Metazoa; Arthropoda; Insecta; Diptera; Muscidae.